CGGACCAUUUAAGCUAAAAAAUUUACUUUUAAACAGGUAUGUAAAAGGGACCAUUUUUCAAUGAAAUGAUAGGGAAAAUAGAGGUGUUGACAAAUUUUUAUCGGAAUUUCAAAAAAACGUUCUAUGACACUUGGUCCAAAACUGUAAUAUAAAAAGCUGAACUAUAACUUCAAAGAAUGAGCAAAUAAAAAACAGAGGUCAC
This 202-nucleotide long non-coding RNA is filed under the name Mytilus galloprovincialis (Mediterranean mussel). The record is from RNAcentral. Lineage: Eukaryota; Metazoa; Mollusca; Bivalvia; Mytilida; Mytilidae.